GCGGCGAAAGGGUGAGUAACACGUAACCAACGUACCCCUCAGAUCGGGAUAACCACUGGAAACGGUGGAUAAUACUGAAUGGUCCUAGGAAGGACAUCCUUCCGAAGGUAAACGGCGGCUUCGGCUGCUGUUGAGGGAGCGGGUUGCGUCCUAUCAGCUUGUUGGUGAGGUAACGGCUCACCAAGGCUAUGACGGGUAGCGGGUCUGAGAGGAUGAUCCGCCACACUGGGACUGAGACACUGCCCAGACUCCUACGGGAGGCUGCAGUCGAGAAUCUUCCACAAUGGGUGAAAGCCUGAUGGAGCGACGCUGCGUGUAGGAUGAAGGCCUUAGGGUUGUAAACUACUGUCACGCUAUAGGAACCCGUGUAGGUUAAUAGCCUGCGCGCUGACCAAAGCGAGAGGAAGUGCCGGCUAACUCCGUGCCAGCAGCCGCGGUAAGACGGAGGGCGCAAGCGUUGUUCGGAAUCACUGGGCAUAAAGGGCGCGUAGGCGGCCAGUUCAGUCGGAUGUGAAAUCCCCCGGCCCAACCGGGGAACUGCAUUCGAUACUGACUGGCUAGAGGAUGGUAGGAGCCAAUGGAACUCCAGGUGGAACGGUGAAAUGUGUAGAUAUCUGGAGGAACACCGGUGGCGAAAGCGAUUGGCUGGGCCAUUUCUGACGCUGAGGCGCGAAAGCUAGGGGAGCGAACGGGAUUAGAUACCCCGGUAGUCCUAGCCGUAAACGAUGGGUACUGGG
This 737-nucleotide ribosomal RNA is filed under the name uncultured Planctomycetota bacterium. RNAcentral's name for it is "bacterial SSU rRNA". It matches the Rfam family "Bacterial small subunit ribosomal RNA", at positions 95 to 820 of the family's 1533-position model. The record is from RNAcentral. Lineage: Bacteria; Pseudomonadati; Planctomycetota.